This 304-nucleotide ribosomal RNA is filed under the name uncultured bacterium. RNAcentral's name for it is "bacterial SSU rRNA". It matches the Rfam family "Bacterial small subunit ribosomal RNA", at positions 28 to 325 of the family's 1533-position model. The record is from RNAcentral.
GAUGAACGCUAGCGGCAGGCUUAAUACAUGCAAGUCGAGGGGCAGCAGGACUGUAGCAAUACAGUUGCUGGCGACCGGCAAACGGGUGCGGAACACGUACGCAACCUACCCAUAACUGAGGAAUAGCCCGGGGAAACCCGGAUUAAUACCUCGUAACAUAAUGAGAUGGCAUCAUCUUAUUAUUAUAGCUCCGGUGGUUAUGGAUGAGCGUGCACCUGUAUAGGUAGUUGGCGGAGUAAUAGCCCACCAAGCCUACGAUCAGUAACUGGUGUGAGAGCACGACCAGUCACACGGGCACUGAGAC